Molecule: long non-coding RNA, 15136 nt
Filed under: Phoenix dactylifera (date palm)
Lineage: Eukaryota; Viridiplantae; Streptophyta; Magnoliopsida; Arecales; Arecaceae
Description: long non-coding RNA (PDAC_LNC003012)
Source: RNAcentral
UUGGCAGAUCCUUCCAAAUUUGAUCCAUUUACAUGUCCACAGCCUUGGGAGUUGGGAGCCACUUUUUCUUAUGUGUUUACUUGGUAGUUUCUGGUUCAAGAACUCACGUGAUUAGUCCAGUCAUACCAACCUAGACCUCGGCCAUUUGCAUUGACUAACCUCUUUCCUCUUGGCUGAAAAAAGAGGAUGGUAUGAGAGGAGCAAAGCAGGUUGGCCACUUCUCCUUUCUCCCUCCCUCUCCCCCCCCCUCUCUCUCUCCUCUCUCUCUCUCUCUCCUACUCCUCUCUCGUNNNNNNNNNNNNNNNNNNNNUCCCCCUCCCUCUCUCUCCUCUCUCUCUCUCUUCACCUUAUCCCUGCUUCGAGGACUCUCCUAGAUUUUGUCCUCACCCACCUUUCACUGGAGAACAAAAAUUUUAGUGAUUGGCUCCUCCCUUGGAUAGUUGGAGCUCUCUUCUUGCUCCCUCUGGCCUCUCCUUGCCAGCAGAUCUUUCUUUUCUCUAAUCACCAUUGAGGAAAGCAAGUUUCCAUCUUUUUGCUUUUUUGAUUUUAUUUAUUUUGAAAGAUCCAAAGUUUGUAGAAAGAUGAGUAAAAUCUAUGUUAUAUUGAUCCUGAUCCUUAUGGGUGGAGAAUUAAUCUGAUUGAAACCAAUUCUUUUGGUUAAUUUCCAAAUAUUUUGCAAUUGCCGAAUCUUGCAGUUGCUAAUCCUAUUAGUUAUAGCUUUGAAUCACAGAACUGUGGUUCCAAGCUGGAUGUGAUAGGGGACCAGAUUCGAACUGAUUUGGGGCCCUUUACUCAGAAGGAUUAAUUGUUGCAGAAGCAUGAUUCAUGCUAAACUAUUUGACAUCUGGUAUGCAUUACAACGAAAAGAUACAAAUGGGUGCUCUGCUCUGAAAAUGUUAAAAAAUAUCUUUUCUAAAAUACAUUACAGCGUUUUUCAUUGUAUGACAUGGUGUUUAUUUGUGUAUCAUUCUUUCCAAACACAAUCAAAAUAAUAUCCACUAAAAUUUUCUACUGGAUGUCUUCUAUAGAAAGGAUAAUUUCUUCAUUUCACGAGGAGUCAAGCCUUCUUAAUUUUCUUAAGACUUGGAAGAGUCCAAUUUCUGUUCAUCAAGUCAGCUGAUGUAAAAAUAACAACAAUAGUCAAUCUGUGCAUAUCACAAGGUACAUAGAGGGUGGAUUUUCAAUGGUUUGGGAGAGAACUUAUUUUUUUCAAUCACAACAUCCAAUAGAUAAUUGAAUAGGGAAUAAGUGUAUUUAAUCUUCAAUGUACUGCAAGGUAUGUAAUAGACAAAUCAUGAACUGUUGAUGUUCAUGAACAUAUUUGAUUGAAGAAGAUAUAGCUGUAAUCAAUGUUUAAUGCACCAAAAGGAAUAAAAUAGAUGCAUGACUCCUGCUAAGUUAAAUAGUACACCAAAAAUGGAAGUUCUUCCCUACUUUACAAUCAAUCUUCUUUCAUUUGAUAGCCUUUUCGAUACCUGUCAUCUGAAAUUUCUAUGAUAUGAUGGAUCCAACUUAAUAAACCAGGAAGGGAACCAUAUUAGUGCCUUUUUAUCUUGGAGACAUACAGCCCUCCCCCACCCCCCCCCCCCGCCUCUUCUCUUUUGAUAGUGGAUUUUUCAGUCCAUUGAAGAUCCAAAGAAAGUGUAAUACGUGUUUACAAAAUCUAAAUGAUAAGAUUUUCCAUAAAUUAAUCAGUUAUAGUAACCUGGAGGCAACCUACAUGAAUUUUUGACCAAACUACAACAUGAGGUGAUGAGUCUUAAAAUCAAGGCAUGCCAUAAGGUUCGCUGCAAAAUCAUCCUCAUAUAGAAUGUCAAGAGUCAUAUCCUUCAAUGUUUGUGCACAUUCUAGAGGGAAAGGCAUGAUGGACAAAUUAACAUUCGAUAAGCAUUUUCCUGGUCGAUCAGGGAAAGCUAAAAUAUUUGUUGGAGAAUGUUUUAGCUUGUGAGAAUCAGUAUAUUUGAGGGUCUCAAGAAACUCAUAGUUAAUAUAAUGGCUGUUAGUUAGUAUGGAGCCUUUCAUAUGCCAUAACCUUAUGUUCUUUUCUUUGAUACAACAAAGAAGUAUCAAGAUGCCAGCUGAUUGCGAAUUUUUAUAACUUUAUCGAGAAAUAUUUCAGCUAAAACUAGCAACCAAAGCCCAAGUGACUGAUAUGGUACUUUCAGGGCUGUGUGGCAUUAUGUUUAUUAUUAUAUAUUACCUUUGUGUUCAAAAUAUCAGUUGAAGCUAUGACCAUGCAUCACACUAGAAAUUAUUUGGUCAAACUGUAACUUUUGAAAUGGAUGAGAAAAACAGUACAAGAAAUUGAGGAAUCUCUAUAACUCUAACAAAGAAACAUAUAACUUUCAAAAUCCUCGAAAGAUCUGCUUUCUGAUAGGAAUUACAUAGACUGACUGGCCAUGUUGAGGCCCUUUGGUGUGUCAUCAUCUUUUGACUUGGACUUUAGCUUAUUAUUUGUUUCCAGCACAUCUAUAGAACCAUUCUCCUACAAUUUUGAGAUUUCCUAAAUAUCCUAGCUACACCUCACUUUUAGGUAAGUAAACAUUGAAAAAGAUAUGAUGAACAUUUUGUUGACCACAUUAUAGUACUUGUUUUCAUUGGCUUUCUCGGGUGCCUCAUAUUACAUGUCAUGCUCAUGACUCAUCACAUAGUGCAUUAUAGAGAGCUUCAGCAUUAUCUCCAAAUUAGUUGGCUGAAAGAUUGACAUAGCAUUACAGAACGUUUUAGCCAUUAUGCUAAAAAUUUGUGCUGCAAACCACAAAAUCUUAGCUGCAUGUCCUUAAGUGGGUUAUGGAAUUACCUAUAAGCCUUUGAAGACCGUCAACUUUCUUUUUCCUAUAAAAUGUGUUACGUUCAGUCAAGAUACAGGAAGCUAAAUGCAUAUCUUUAGAUCUGUUAGUAGGUCUAAGCCAUUAGACUAUCCAACAAUAUUUAUAAUACAAGAAUUAAAGUCACAUAAAAUGGCUAUCCUGCUAUAUCUUUAAUACAAGAAUUAAAGCCACAUAUUUGUGGUUUUAUUGUUCUAUUUUCUGCUCUUAAAGUCUGCUUUUUGAUUAUCCAGUUAUUCCCAGACUGCAGGAAUAAAUGCAACGUCAAUGUCAACGGUCCUUGAUAUCACAGUUUAAUAGCUUUGUACUGAAUUUUGGAGCCAAAAGACAUCCAGCUGAUACUUGUAAUAAAUCCUUCAUCCAUAAAAUUUUACGAGACCUACACCAUAAAAUUUUAGGAGACUUAUCCAGAUACAAAGAUUUAUGUAGCAUCACCAUGCAAAUUGUGACCUUAUUUAAGUAACAACCUUAUCUGAACUUGCUUACUCCCUGGAUGUCCAUGUUACUGCCAAAGUGCUUUGCAGAUAAUACCCUGCCUUUUUUUGUUUUUUUUUAAUUCUUUGGAUCCCAUAUCUGGUGAAACAUGGACGAUGUUAAGCCUCUACAGAGCAAGUUGAAGAAUGAUUUGAAACUAUCAUAUUAUGUAUUUUUGCUCCAUAAAUUGGAUUUUGUAAUUAAUUUUAAAAGAUCUUAUGCCAAGGUACAAUUAUAGUUUUACAUCAUCAUAUUCAUGGUCUAAAAACUUUCUAUAGAUUUAUUAUUUUUUAGAAUUAUUUUCUGAAACAAAAAUGGACUCAAAUUGUUGUAACUUUAGAUGAUAAAGUUUCUAUGCUUAUGUUUUUGAAGUUUUCUAUGUCUGCUUACUGCGAUCUUCUCUGCAUCUUUAAUUAUUUUAUUUUCCUUUAGAUUUCUUAAAUUCUCUGUCCUAUUAUUCACCACCUGUCUCACCUAUCUCAUGGAUUUCCUGUAAAUUUUUUGCUGAUGUUCUUGAAACAGAAUCUGGCCAUGGCUAUUGAUAGUGAGUAUGAUAACUAUUUACAAGAAGAUGGGUCACCAACAGGAGAGAGAGUGAGUGGAGACACUGCCAUGGCGGUUUUAACGAGAACAGAGCUGGACCUAGCAUAUUCUUCGGAAAAAUUACUGAACUUGGAGAUACUUUUGAUGCAAGUGUCAAGCAGAGCAAGUGAUUUUGAAGCUCUGACCACAGAGUAUGAGGACAUCUCUAAUGAGUCCAUUGAGAAGGCCUUUGAAUUUGAUGCUUUGUCUGGAAUUUUGAACAUGGAGGUCAAAGAACUAGACAACUUUAUGGCUUCGCUCCAAAUGGAAAUCAUGGAUGCCCACCCGAAGCUUUCUUGGGAUGACCACUUGGGAGAAUCAUCAAUAAAAAUAGAAGAGAAGUUGCGUGAUGCUGAGGAAUCCAUAAAGCAGUUACAAGAUUUAGUUGCUGAUAUUAGAAUGCAAUCAGCCAAGUUUGAAGGAACCCUAGCUUUUGCUCAUAAUGAAACUCGUAAGUCAAAAUCAUUUUCUUUGGAGCUAUGUUAAUGUCAAGAAUGAAGAUGGAUUCAAUUUCUAGAUUAUUGCAUGCUUUUGAACAGGGACUGGUGGAGAUGAAGAGAUGGAGAAUGGCCAUUUUUCUUCCAUGAAUAGUAAGUGGAAACUGCAGACAGUGGAUCAGCAAAGACAUCUUCUACAGAUACUGGAGAAAUCUUUGGCCAGGGAGAUGGAUCUUGAAAAGAAGCUGUCAGAUUCAAGAUCUAAUGAAGAGGACCUCAAAUUAAAGCUGCACUAUGCAGAAAGGGAGUCAUAUUUAAUGGAAGAAACACUGGAAAUGAUUUUGGAGAAAAUGUUUGAGGCAGAAAAUGCUGCCGAGCUCCUUCUGGGCAUUGCAAAAGAAUUAAUAGGAAAGUUCCAGAUUGUUCAGCUAAACCUAAAUGGGUCAUUACAUAGAGAAUGUGAAAUGAGAACCAAGUUGCAGGAAAGUAUGACGAAAUUAUCUGCUGAAGAAAGUGCUCUGGAGAAGCUGAAAACUAGUUGUGCAGAACUUGAUAACAUCCUUGUAGUACAAGAAAAUGGCCUAAAAGCCAGCCUUAAAGAAGCUGAUUGUAAAUGCAUGCUUGUUAGUUCUGAUGUCUUGACUUUAAUAGAAAAGGUGAGAGCACUUGAGGAGCAGUUAAGUGAAUCUGAUAUCCAGUUGCAGAUGGCAAAGGCCUCUGUGGAAGCUAGUCAGGAACAGCAGACUUUGUUACAUUCUGAACUUAGUCAGCUGGAAAAUGUAAUUGAGGGUCUGAAGGAAAAUGUCUGGAAAACAGAAAGCAGGGCUGAAAGUGCAGAAGCUAGGCGUAUGCAAUUAACUAAAACUAACAUGGAACUUAAUGAGAAGCUAGGUUUACUUAGAAAAAGUGGAUCAGAAAAGGCAAUAUUGUCAGAGACGAAGCUCAAGGAAUCAAAUAGACAGUUAGAACAUGCAAAAGCAUCUGUUGAAGCGAUGGAGCAGCAGCAGAAUAUGUUAUACACUGCACUUAGUGAUAUGGAACAUAUUAAUAAGGAACUUAAGGGAAAGGUUGCAAAAGCUGAAAGUAGGGCUGAGAAUGCUGAAUCUAAGUGUACUCUGUUAACUGAAACCAAUUUGGAACUAAAUGAAGAGCUGGGUUAUGUGAGAAGCAGAUUGGAAUGUUUAGAGACAUCUUUGAAUCAGACCGAUGAUGCGAAAGUAGCCACUGCCAAGGACAUUGGUAUCAGGAGUAAAAUCAUUACUGACCUUGUUAUGAAACUAUCAUUGGAAAGAGAGUGUCUUCAAUUACAGGUAUGCUCUGAUCACUUCCCUUUUCUUUUGCUUGUUUCCGUUUAUGAUUCUCACUAGUUUGAUUAGAUGAUGAAGAUUUUUUUUGAUUGUUUACCUUCACUCUGUGGAAGAGGAAUGAGUCUCCUUUCUAAUCACGUUUUCAUCUUUUCUUUAUAGGGUAUAAUAGGCAAUGUUUUAUAAGACCAUAGGCAGCAGAAGGGCAGCCAGGUAGCUGCCUAGCACCUAAGUGCUGCACAGGUGCCUAGGCAUGCACCCAGAGGUCAAGGCAGCCCAAAAUAGCAAAUAAAAAAAGGAAAAAAAAGAAAAAGGCCAAAAAAAAUUAUAAACUAAUGAAUGAAAAGUAUGAUAUCAAACAAGGUGUGAUAGGCCACUGGGAACUACAACCAGGCAACAUCUAAUACUAGUUUAUUAAUCAGUCUCAUCUUACAUACUCAAAAACAAUAUACAAUGUUAAGAUGGGUGCCUAGGCACAUCAUCUAGGCGGCCAAGUCAGCCAUCUUCUAAAACCAUGAUCAUAGGACUGGGUGCACUUCUUUGUCAACUUGCUUAAAUCAAGCACAACCUUGAAGUCCUUCAUUUUUAUAUUGCUCCCAGAAUGACAAUGCGUAAAGUUCAACUUGAUGCGUAGUUAAGGAACCUCCAUAACACUUAUCUUCUAGCUUUAACUAUUUUAAUGUUUUACAUCAUGAAUACCCAUGUGAAUGUUUAUUCAGAUGGCGCAUCAUUGAUUUCGCUUCAAUAGGCUACAUAGGAUGCCUACAUCAAUAUAGAGUCAUUGAUGAUAUAUGUGAGAAGCCUAGACAAUUACAAACUUGCAAGCUCCUAUAUAGAAAUGUUCCAUAUUUUGGGACAUUCAUACUGGAAACAAGUACACAAAUCAUUCUAUAUCUCUUUUGGCCAAUGCAGACAUAUUUUAUGUUGUGUCAAAAAAAAAUGCAGAUAUAUUUUAUCUCUUAGACCUUGGUAAGGAGAUGUGCUCUUAUUUGUAAAGGAUUAGAAAUAGAAAUUGUUAAGUACACUUCGAUCUAAAUUCCAUGGAUUCCAUGGAAGCAUCUCGACAAUUUCUUCAACUGGAAAAAUUAACCCUUGAUGCAUAAAAUAUACAAGCAAGAAAGGGGAUGGAGCUUGUUAGUUAUGGUUAUUUUUGUCUUCGACAUUGGUUGCUGGAGAUAGCAGAUAUUUGUUGCCUAUACUCUUGUCUCACUAGCAUGAUGAACUGUUUUUGAAUUGGAUCAGUGCCUCAGAUCAUAAAUGAAUUUAUGUUAUCAUAGAUGUAUUAAAACUACUCAAAAGUAAAUGUGUAUAAGUAUCUUUAUAUUCUUGGAUAUGAUUGAAAAGCUUUACUAACAAAUUUAAUUGUAAGUGAUUUGCCAAAAAUUUCAAUCCAGCAGAUAUAUACAUUUACAGAAAGGCUUAGUUUUCAGAUUGUCCUAUGCACAUUUCCUCAUUUAAUGUACAUAAAGCUGCACUCUUUAAAAGCAUGCAUUUUUUUUCCUUUUUUUGCAUGCAGAUAUCUGCAUUAAGAAAAAAGAACAAAGUCCUGGCGGAGAGAUGCAAAACAAAGGAUAAUGCCCCUAUUACUCCGAGCCACAAGGGCAGCGAUGAUGGGAAUGAAUUUAGUAUCCUAAAACAAUCUGAAGAAGCAUUAACAGAAUCUUCAACUACAAAUUUCCAGGUAGUCAAUUUUUUAAUAUUCAUAUGUUUCUUUAAUGAAGUAAGCUUCAGAUAGGGAGAUAAUGAUAGUUUUAAAAUAUUUUUGCACUGACAUGUUAAAUGUCAGUAUUACAGAAGAAUUUGGUUAUCAUGGUAGUCAAGUGGAAAAUAAUAAUUUUUCCCAACUUACGCGCAUAUAUUCGUGCAAUGAUAUAGUUUAUAGCAGUUGCAGGCUUCAUGUUUGGUAGCAAGUACAUGUGUAUAUGAAAAAUUAUUUUAGCAUAUGUUGGUAUUUCAGUCAUGUAUGGAGACAUAAGUGAUGGGUUGCAUCUGUCAGCAUAAUAAGCAAGUAUGGAUGCAUGCAUAAAGUUACUAGUUGUGCAUUCUGAGAAGAAAUAUUGGAGGAGCGAACUCAGUUCUCUCAAAAUAGGAUAAAGAUUCUGCAGAAGAGUCUUGAAUUUUUGUACUUGUAAUGGUACCAGAAUGAAGUGGAAUACAUUUCUAUGUCUCGGAUUUAAUUUUUCUAUGAUGUUUCUUACACAGCAUAUAACUAUAUCUGAGGAGGAAAUUGAACUGGUUUGCAGUAAUCUCUGACUAAUACUCUUGGAAAUUAGCUAAAAUGAGUAAUGGAGCCCCCUUGUGGAGCUCUAUUUCACAUCUUCAGAUACACUUCUGGCAUACAUCCUAUGUUAUAGCCAAUAGAUUGAACUGCAGGAGUCUAUAAGAUUUUUCCUUUUCUUUGACCCUUCAAACUUAUCUAUUAGUUAGUCAUUUCAGUUGGACAGCUGACUAUGUUUACCAUUGCUCCCUUCUUGAAAGAAAUUAACCUUCUUGUUCAGAUCUUCAAGUAUUUCAGAUGUCAAUCUCUUUUGGCUCCAAUUGGAGUAGAAUAAUCUUCUGUUUAUGUCUUGUAGUGAAUUUGGUUAUCUACUUUAGCAUACUUAUCUCCAACAUAUCUUUAGAACCAUGCUGUUGAUGUAAUAUUCGUUUUCCACUUUGAUUAGUAUAGCAGGUCAACAACGAUGAAGAGAUAAGAUCAUUCCUUAAGUGACUUGAUAAAGUUGAUAUAAUCCAUCUUAUUGAACUUGUUGAGAAUUUUAUAGGCUCUUUUGUUUUUAUUUAGCUUGGAUAUGUGAUGAAUUAGUGCCAUUUAUACAUCAUUAUGUCUCACUCAUUAAAUAAAUAAAAUUUUUAGAUAACACAAUUGGUGACUGAAUAAAAGAGAGAUAAAUGCAAAAUUCUAACAUCAAAAAAUUUUAAAAGGUUGGUGAAAAUUAGAGGAAAUCAAAACAGUAGUUGUAACAACCCAGGACCUCACCCAAAAUGGCUAGCCGAUAGGUAUUAUUUUGGUUCCUUGAUCCUGUAUAAGUACCCAAGAUUUACCUAGCAAAUAACCGAUGUGGUAUUAAACACAUGCCCGCACGGGUCCUCACAUACUCCCUCCGUUCAAGCCCUGAUGUCCUCAUCAGGUUAAGGGUUCAAAUCCAUUCAAAUCUAAUCACAAACACCACGAUCGGCUCGUGGUCAAUCCCAAUGGAUCCGUGCUACAGUGUUUCCUAGUCCUCAUAGGUUAUGAACCAACCUGGCUCUGAUACCACUAAAUGUCAAGCCCUGAAUUCGGAUCAUGACACAGCCGUACUAUUGCAACCUUAUGCAUACAAUAACAUGAAGCCACUUAAAAUUUCAUAUCAAAAAUGAACAAUUUUAGUUACAAAUGUUAUAAUAAGUUUCAUCAGAAUGGAACGGUGCAGAGCUUCUAAAAUUUUAACAUUUGAUAUUCAAUUUUUCCAAAUCCUGAAGUACAUCAAGCUCCUUGCUCCUAGCAAUCUUAAUUAUCUGAAAAAAAUGGAUAAAAUGGUGUGAGCUAUACGGCUCAGUAAGUAACCAUGCACAAUCUUAGCAGAUCAAGCUUAAUGUGCUUUAUGCCAGUGCAUUAAUUUAAGAAAUUAACAAUUGUAACAAAGUAAGCAUUUUAUAUAGCAUAUAUUCAAAUCAGACAUAAAAUAGUGGAUGCCCAAUCAUGCAAGUUCAUAAAUAUGAAUGUGCAUCAUAUAAAAUUCUUGUCAUUAUUCAUGCUUUGAAAUCCGUACUCUCAGAUGAUAAUGCAGCUAUGGCCGCUCUUAUUCCCAUGGCAAGGCCUUUACCAACUAUUAUUCUCCAUUGGCAGGGUCUAUACCAAUUUACUAUUACCCACUAGCGGGGGUCGUAUACCGAGUUACUGAAUUCAAGGAUAUUCUAUGAUCAGUACUUUCCUAAGUCACUAAGGCUAUUAAAGGAGAAUGAGUUUGUCUUUGAGGCAGUCAAAGAAUAUGACAGUGCUGCAAUAUGCUAACAAAUUCAAUGAAUCAGGUCGGUUCUGUCCUCUGCUUAUGGAGGACGAUCAGAGCAAGGCCAAUAGAUUUGAGCAGGGCUUGAGAUACAAGAUUUGAUCUCGGUUGUCAGUUCUGAUUUUUACCAGUUACAGGGAGUACUGGACAGGGUUCUGAAAGUUGAAGCUGAACUGGUGAGAUCAGAAAAAGAAAGAGGUGACUAGAAGAGGCCUAGGAUAUCGGGGAGUCAGCAUGUUAGGCCAAGGAACUUUGGGGGUAAUGCAAACAAAAAGAAAUUCGGGGCCUGUACCUUCUGUGGCAAGUCUCAUAGUGGGCCGUCUUAAAAAGAUAGGAGCAUGUUUCUAUUGUGGUCGCUUGAACACAUAGCACGUGACCGUCAGAAGAAGAAUGACCCAAGACCUACUGGAUCAGGUGAUCAGAGGCAGAAGGGGACUGCUCGGGUGUUCGCGCUGACUCGACAGGACAUCAGUGCUAGCAACAGGGUGGUGACAGGUACUAUCCCCAUCAACUCUGUUGAUGCAUCUAUAUUAUUUGAUUCUGGCUCUACACAUUCUUUUGUAUCUGCUAAAUUCUUUGGAUCCUUGCACUGCAUACCGGAGAAAUUAGAAGCGCCACUAUAUAUUGCUACACCCCUUCAGAAAAUGGUAGUUGCUGACAUUAUAUUAAAGAAUUGCAUAAUUCAAAUAGGAGAAAGGGAGUUAGUGACAGGCUUAAUACAGUUAGAUAUGCAAGAUUUUAAUAUCAUUUUGGGGAUGAACUGGUUGUCCAAGUAUCAUGCUCACAUAGACUGUUUCUGAAAGAGAGUAGUUUUCCAGAUACCAGGAGAGCUGGAGUUCUUCUAUUAGGGCGAUACGCCCAUACAAUGUAAGUGCUGCUUACAUUUUAUUUCUGCUAUAUGUGCAAGUAAGGCAUUAAGAAAAGGGUGUCAGGCCUAUUUAGCUUAUGUGGUAGAUACUCAAAUAGAAACAAGGCUGGAUGAUAUUUCGGUUGUGGGAGAAUACUCAGAUGUUUUCCCUGAUGAGCUAUUCGAGUUGCCUCCUGACCGAGAGAUUGAUUUCAAGAUUGAUCUCGCAUCGGGAGUUGGACCAAUCUCCAAGCCUCCUUACCGGACAACUCUUGUUGAACUGUGUGAAUUAAAGGUCCAACUACAAGAGCUUCUAGAGAAGAAAUUCAUCCGGCCUAGUGUCUCUCCAUGGGGAACCCCUGUCUUAUUUGUGAAAAAGAAGAAUGGGAGCAUGAGACUGUGUAUUGAAGAAUAAGUAUCUCUUGCCUCGAAUUGAUGAUAUGUUUGACCAGCUACAAAGUGCACAAGUAUUCUCAAAGAUAGACUUGUGGUCUGGUUAUCAUCAAUUAAAAAUUAGAGUCGAGGAUGUGCCCAAGACAGCGUUUCGGACUAGAUAUGGUCAUUUUGAAUUUUUGGUUGUCUUUUGGACUAACGAAUGCUCCAGCUGCCUUUAUGGACCUGAUGAACAGGAUCUUCAAGCAGUUUCUGGAUCUGUUUGUCAUUGUAUUCAUUGAUGUUAUACUGGUCUACUCCAAGAGCAAGGAAGAGCAUAAAAAUCAUUGGAGGUUAGUACUGCAGACUCUACGGGAGAAGAAAUUAUAUGCCAAGCUGAACAAAUGUGAAUUCUGGCUGGAUAGCAUUGCAUUUCUUGGGCAUAUGAUCUCUAAAAAUGGAAUUUCAGUGGACCCAAAGAAGAUUGAAGCAGCGGUGAACUAGCCUCGUCCUGCCAAUAUGACUGAGAUCAGAAGCUUCUUGGAUUUGGUUGGAUAUUAUAGGAGAUUUGUAGAUGGAUUUUUUUGGAUAGCCACUCCUUUAACUCGUUUGACUCAGAAACAAGCAAAGUAUGAAUGGAGUGAGGAAUGUGAGCAGAGUUUCCAAGAGUUGAAGCAGAGAUUAGUAUCUGCUCCUAUUCUCAUCCUACCAUUCGGUACGGAAAGUUUCAUUAUUAUAAUGAUGCCUCGAAGAAAGGAUUGGGUUGUGUGUUAAUGUAAAAUGAUAAGGUGGUGGCAUACGCCUCUAGAUAGUUGAAACCCUAUGACCAGAACUAUCCUACACAUGAUUUGGAAUUGGCAGAGGUAGUCUUUGCUCUAAAGAUUUGGCGACACUAUCUAUAUGGAGAGCCAUGUGAAGUCUUCACUGAUCAUAAAAGCUUAAAGUACAUAUUUACACAGAAGGAGCUUAAUAUGAGGCAGGGGAGAUGGCUUAAGCUGCUAACAGAUUAUGACCUGAAUAUAAAAUAUCAUCCGGGAAAGGCUAAUGUGGUGGCUGAUGCUUUUAGCAGAAAGUCAACAGUAGGCACUACAGCUCUACUCACCACUCAAAAGCAAAUUAUCAAGGAUCUCAAUAUGAUGCAGAUUGAGGUGACUGCUACGGGUGCUGGAGGUAUGCUAGCUAGUCUGAUGGUGCAACCGACAUUGCUUGAGAAAAUUAAGAUUGCACAACAGGCUGAUGCCCACUUAUAUCGGCUUAAAGAAGAUGUGGAAGGAGGGUUGCGACCCGAGCUUAGAAUUCACCAAGAUGGUACUCUUCGAUUCGGAAACAGAUUAUGUGUACCAAAUGAUGAUGAAUUGAAGAGAAAAAUUAUGGAGGAAUCCUGCUUCUCUAUUCAUCCAGGUAGCACAAAAAUGUAUAGAGAUUUAAGGGAGCAUUUAUGGUGGAAUGGUAUGAAAAGAGAGAUAGCCAGUUUUGUAGCUCGAUGCCUAGUAUACCAGCAGGUGAAAGCUGAACAUCAGAGUCAUCUAGUGUACACAAUAUCUUCCAUGUUUCUCUACUACAAAAAUACAUUGCAGAUCUUAAUCAUGUGGUAGAGUAUGAGCCAUUACAGGUUGAAAAGGAUCUGACAUAUAAAGAGUUUCCUCUACGCAUACUUGAUCGCAAAGAGCAGGUCUUGAGACGGCGCACCAUUCCCUAUGUGAGGAGGAUUCAGUGGAGCAACCAUUCGGAUAGAGAGGCGACUUGGGAGCUAGAGGAUGAAAUGCGUGCGAGGCAUCCACAAAUUUUGAAGACUCAGGUUUGUAAUUUCGAGGAUGAAAUUUUUUUGAGCGGAGAAUGUGAGAAUAGCCCAAUUUUUUUAAGGAGGAGAGAAUGUGAGAAUAGCGCCCCCCCCCACCCCAAAAAAAAGGGGCUGAAGCUGACAGUCCCAGCCGACUUCAGCCCAGGGCCCUUUGCUCAUGCGUUAAGAGGGCGGAGACGAUGCGGCGACUCCAUCACAACGGUGAAUGAGCCACGAUCAUUUCGAAAUCAUCUCAUAAAAGAAAAGGAAGAAAGAAAUUUUCGAUUCCAUCUCUUCCCUCACAGUGCAUCUUCCUUCUUCCUCUAGGGAUAGGGCUUCCUGCAGCUGGUGCUACCGGAGAGAGUAGUCGCAACUUCCUCCCGAAGCGAGGUAAACCCUAACUCCUAUUUCUUUUUACCCCAUGAUAACAAAAUAAAAGAUAAGAAGAAGAAAAAGAAGGGAAGUCAUGGCCUCGGAAAGAGAGGGAGAGCCGUGACUCAAUCACAGGGGGAGGGCUUUAACUCCCCUCCUCUGCCGCGAUGUGGUCUGGGAGAGGAGCCGCCGGCCGCAACCGCAGACACUGUCGGCUCUCAGCCAAGCUGCAGCGUGCCGGAGGUCCCUCUUCUCGAUGGGGAGUGGUUUCGACCGACUUCCCCCAUCUCUCCCACCAAAGAAGUGGCAGAAGAAANNNNNNNNNNNNNNNNNNNNGGAGGUCCCUCUUCUCGAUGGGGAGUGGUUUCGACCGACUUCCCCCCAUCUCUCCCACCAAAGAAGUGGCAGAAGAAAAUAAGAAAAGAAAGGAAGAAAAAAAAAGGAAAGACUCACCGGUCUGCAGCCACUGUCGGCGUUGCGUGCGGCCGUGAGCGUCGCCGGCACUACGUUAGCAGCGGGCGGCUACCGCAGGUAGGCCGGGGGCGUCGGCCGACGCCCUCGGUCGGGCCUGUGACCGACGUAGUGCCGGUGACGCUCGCGGCCGAAUCCAACGGCUGCCGCACGCGAUGCCGACGGUGGCUGCAGACUAGUGAGUCUUUCCUUUUGUCAUGCCCCAAAUCCAGAUCAUGACACGGCCGUGCUAUUGCAAUCUUAUGCACACAAUAACACGAAGUCACUUAAAAUUUCAUAAUAAAAAUAAAUAGUUUCAUUUACUAAUGUCAUAACAUUAUUCAUGAAGUUGGAACAGUACAGAGCUUCUAAAAUUUGAUUAUUACAUAAUAUUUUUAGUUAUCCCAACCCUGAAUAACACCAAGCUCCCUACUUCUAGUAGUCUUAUUCAUCUGUACGAAAAAAAAUAGGAAAAAGUUAUGAGCUACAUAGCUCAGUAAGUAACCAAGUACUAUCUUAUUGGAUUAAGUAUAAUUAUGCCAAUGCAAUAUUUAAAAAGCUAACAGUUAUAGCAAAAUAAAGCAUUUUAUAGAUGAUAUUCACAAAUCAGGUCAUAAAGCAAUGCAUGUUCCAUCAAUGAAAAUUCAUAAAUAUGAAUAUGCAUCAUAUAAAAUUCUUGCCAUAUUUCUUGCUUUGAAAUCCGUAAUCGCCAUUAUUCAUGCUUCGAAAAUCGUGCUCUCAGAUGGUAGUGCAGCUAUGGUCACUAUUAUUACCCAUGACAGGGUCGUAAUAUUCACCUACUACUAUUACCCGUUGGCAGGGCCAUAUGUCGAGCUAUUAUAACCCGCUGGCGAGGGCCAUAAUCUUUGCCAACUAUUAUUUUCCGUUGGCAGGGUCUACACCAAGCUAUUAUAACCUGCUGACGAGGGCCGUAUGCUGAGCUAUUAUAACCCGCUGGCGAGGGCCGUACAUAGCAAUCUAAGAGUUCGUAAAUCAUUAUUCUUUUUCAUUCAUAAAUCAUAAUUAUCAUAAAUAGGUUGGAAAAUGAUAAAUGGCAUCAUAUAAUUUAAAAUACAUAAGCAUGUCUCAAAUAUUNNNNNNNNNNNNNNNNNNNNNNNNNNNNNNNNNNNNNNNNNNNNNNNNNNNNNNNNNNNNNNNNNNNNNNNNNNNNNNNNNNNNNNNNNNNNNNNNNNNNNNNNNNNNNNNNNNNNNNNNNNNNNNNNNNNNNNNNNNNNNNNNNNNNNNNNNNNNNNNNNNNNNNNNNNNNNNNNNNNNNNNNNNNNNNNNNNNNNNNNNNNNNNNNNNNNNNNNNNNNNNNNNNNNNNNNNNNNNNNNNNNNNNNNNNNNNNNNNNNNNNNNNNNNNNNNNNNNNNNNNNNNNNNNNNNNNNNNNNNNNNNNNNNNNNNNNNNNNNNNNNNNNNNNNNNNNNNNNNNNNNNNNNNNNNNNNNNNNNNNNNNNNAGGGACCACGAAUGGCUAGGAUGCGGCUUCGGCUUGGAAUGGAAGGUUGCAACGCUGGUUGGGAGCUGAUCUGGAUCAUUGGAUGCGGACACGGAGAUGCUCGCGAUGUUGUGUUGUAUCGCGGGAUGAAGUCAGGAUGUGCAGGCCCUAGAAGAUGCUGGAUUGACUUGAGCUUGGGCUGCCGGGCAUUGGGCCCAAACCCGAUAUUAUUGGGUUUCUUGGAUUACUUGCACUCAAACACAAA